AUUGAACGCUGGCGGCAGGCCUAACACAUGCAAGUCGAACGGUAACAGGAAGCAGCUUGCUGCUUUGCUGACGAGUGGCGGACGGGUGAGUAAUGUCUGGGAAACUGCCCGAUGGAGGGGGAUAACUACUGGAAACGGUAGCUAAUACCGCAUAACGUCGCAAGACCAAAGAGGGGGACCUUAGGGCCUCUUGCCAUCGGAUGUGCCCAGAUGGGAUUAGCUAGUAGGUGGGGUAACGGCUCACCUAGGCGACGGUCCCUAGCUGGUCUGAGAGGAUGACCAGCCACACUGGAACUGAGACACGGUCCAGACUCCUACGGGAGGCAGCAGUGGGGAAUAUUGCACAAUGGGCGCAAGCCUGAUGCAGCCAUGCCGCGUGUAUGAAGAAGGCCUUCGGGUUGUAAAGUACUUUCAGCGGGGAGGAAGGGAGUAAAGUUAAUACCUUUGCUCAUUGACGUUACCCGCAGAAGAAGCACCGGCUAACUCCGUG
Molecule: ribosomal RNA, 490 nt
Filed under: uncultured bacterium
Lineage: Bacteria
Description: partial 16S ribosomal RNA
Rfam family: Bacterial small subunit ribosomal RNA
Source: RNAcentral